Molecule: ribosomal RNA, 443 nt
Filed under: Microstomus kitt (lemon sole)
Lineage: Eukaryota; Metazoa; Chordata; Actinopteri; Pleuronectiformes; Pleuronectidae
Description: partial small subunit ribosomal RNA
Rfam family: Bacterial small subunit ribosomal RNA
Source: RNAcentral
CAAAGGCUUGGUCCUGACUUUACUGUCGACUUUAACUAAACUUACACAUGCAAGUAUCCGCCCCCCUGUGAGAAUGCCCACAACUCCCUGCUUGGGAACUAGGAGCCGGUAUCAGGCACAAGCCCCGCUAGCCCACGACGCCUUGCUUAGCCACACCCUCAAGGGAACUCAGCAGUGAUAAAUAUUAAGCCAUAAGUGAAAACUUGACUUAGUUAAGGUUAAGAGGGCCGGUAAAACUCGUGCCAGCCACCGCGGUUAUACGAGAGGCCCAAGUUGACAAACAACGGCGUAAAGAGUGGUUAGGGGAAUUACUAAACUAGAGCCGAACGCUUUCAAAGCUGUUAUACGCACCCGAAAGUAUGAAACCCAAUUACGAAAGUAGCUCUACCUGUCCUGAACCCACGAAAGCUAAGAAACAAACUGGGAUUAGAUACCCCACUAUG